GACGAACGCUGGCGGCGUGCCUAAUACAUGCAAGUAGAACGCUGAAGGAGGAGCUUGCUUCUCUGGAUGGGUUGCGAACGGGUGAGUAACGCGUAGGUAACCUGCCUGGUAGCGGGGGAUAACUAUUGGAAACGAUAGCUAAUACCGCAUAAGAGUAGAUGUUGCAUGACAUUUGCUUAAAAGGUGCAAUUGCAUCACUACCAGAUGGACCUGCGUUGUAUUAGCUAGUUGGUGGGGUAACGGCUCACCAAGGCGACGAUACAUAGCCGACCUGAGAGGGUGAUCGGCCACACUGGGACUGAGACACGGCCCAGACUCCUACGGGAGGCAGCAGUAGGGAAUCUUCGGCAAUGGACGGAAGUCUGACCGAGCAACGCCGCGUGAGUGAAGAAGGGUUUCGGAUCGUAAAGCUCUGUUGUAAGAGAAGAACGAGUGUGAGAGUGGAAAGUUCACACUGUGACGGUAUCUUACCAGAAAGGGACGGCUAACUACGUG
This 495-nucleotide ribosomal RNA is filed under the name uncultured bacterium. RNAcentral describes it as "partial 16S ribosomal RNA". It matches the Rfam family "Bacterial small subunit ribosomal RNA", at positions 28 to 507 of the family's 1533-position model. The record is from RNAcentral.